Molecule: ribosomal RNA, 752 nt
Filed under: Pseudoalteromonas sp. OC-C3-5
Lineage: Bacteria; Pseudomonadati; Pseudomonadota; Gammaproteobacteria; Alteromonadales; Pseudoalteromonadaceae
Description: bacterial SSU rRNA
Rfam family: Bacterial small subunit ribosomal RNA
Source: RNAcentral
CUAACACAUGCAAGUCGAGCGGUAACAGAGAGUAGCUUGCUACUUUGCUGACGAGCGGCGGACGGGUGAGUAAUGCUUGGGAAUAUGCCUUAUGGUGGGGGACAACAGUUGGAAACGACUGCUAAUACCGCAUGAUGUCUUUGGACCAAAGUGGGGGACCUUCGGGCCUCACGCCAUAAGAUUAGCCCAAGUGGGAUUAGCUAGUUGGUGAGGUAAUGGCUCACCAAGGCGACGAUCCCUAGCUGGUUUGAGAGGAUGAUCAGCCACACUGGGACUGAGACACGGCCCAGACUCCUACGGGAGGCAGCAGUGGGGAAUAUUGCACAAUGGGCGCAAGCCUGAUGCAGCCAUGCCGCGUGUGUGAAGAAGGCCUUCGGGUUGUAAAGCACUUUCAGUAAGGAGGAAAGGUUAAGUGUUAAUAGCACUUAGCUGUGACGUUACUUACAGAAGAAGCACCGGCUAACUCCGUGCCAGCAGCCGCGGUAAUACGGAGGGUGCGAGCGUUAAUCGGAAUUACUGGGCGUAAAGCGUACGCAGGCGGUUUGUUAAGCGAGAUGUGAAAGCCCCGGGCUCAACCUGGGAACUGCAUUUCGAACUGGCAAACUAGAGUGUGAUAGAGGGUGGUAGAAUUUCAGGUGUAGCGGUGAAAUGCGUAGAGAUCUGAAGGAAUACCGAUGGCGAAAGGCAGCCACCUGGGUCAACACUGACGCUCAUGUACGAAAGCGUGGGGAGCAAACAGGAUUAGAUACCCU